AGUGAACGCUGGCGGUAGGCCUAACACAUGCAAGUCGAACGGCAGCACAGUAAGAGCUUGCUCUUACGGGUGGCGAGUGGCGGACGGGUGAGGAAUACAUCGGAAUCUACUUUUUCGUGGGGGAUAACGUAGGGAAACUUACGCUAAUACCGCAUACGACCUACGGGUGAAAGCAGUGGAUCUUCGGACCUUGCGCGAUUGUAUGAGCCGAUGUCGGAUUAGCUAGUUGGCGGGGUAAAGGCCCACCAAGGCGACGAUCCGUAGCUGGUCUGAGAGGAUGAUCAGCCACACUGGAACUGAGACACGGUCCAGACUCCUACGGGAGGCAGCAGUGGGGAAUAUUGGACAAUGGGCGCAAGCCUGAUCCAGCAAUACCGCGUGGGUGAAGAAGGCCUUCGGGUUGUAAAGCCCUUUUGUUGGGAAAGAAAAGCAGCAGGUUAAUACCCCGCUGUUCUGACGGUACCCAAAGAAUAAGCACCGGCUAACUUCGUG
RNAcentral lists this ribosomal RNA (492 nucleotides) under uncultured bacterium. RNAcentral's name for it is "partial 16S ribosomal RNA". It matches the Rfam family "Bacterial small subunit ribosomal RNA", at positions 29 to 507 of the family's 1533-position model. The record is from RNAcentral.